CGCCAACUCAAAAUCUUUUUGCAUGGGAUCGAUUAAAAAAAACUGGUCAAGAUUUACGAGGUACUUCUGAAAUAAAGCGUAUAUCAAAGAAGGAACUUUUAAGGCACAAUAAACCUGAAGAUUGCUGGAUUGCAGUGAAAGGAAUAAUAUAUAAUGUUACGAGCUUUAUAGAUUUUCAUCCAGG
This is a long non-coding RNA of Zophobas morio, 184 nucleotides long. RefSeq lists it as uncharacterized. The transcript has 3 exons. The record is from RefSeq and is a predicted model, not a curated record. NCBI's taxonomy places the organism in Eukaryota, Metazoa, Arthropoda, Insecta, Coleoptera, Tenebrionidae.